Molecule: ribosomal RNA, 405 nt
Filed under: uncultured bacterium
Lineage: Bacteria
Description: bacterial SSU rRNA
Rfam family: Bacterial small subunit ribosomal RNA
Source: RNAcentral
UGAGGAAUAUUGAGCAAUGGGCGAAAGCCUGACUCAGCAACGCCGCGUGGGCGAUGAAGGCCUUCGGGUCGUAAAGCCCUUUUCUGAGGGACGAGGAAGGACGGUACCUCAGGAAUAAGUCACGGCUAACUACGUGCCAGCAGCCGCGGUAAUACGUAGGUGGCCAGCGUUAUCCGGAAUCAUUGGGCGUAAAGCGCGUGUAGGUGGUUUCGUUAGUCGGACGUGAAAUCUCCUGGCUUAACUGGGAGGGGCCGUUCGAUACUGCGGAGCUUGAGGUCGGGAGAGGGACGUGGAAUUCCCGGUGUAGUGGUGGAAUGCGUAGAUAUCGGGAGGAACACCAGUGGCGAAGGCGGCGUCCUGGCCCGCACCUGACACUCAGACGCGAAAGCGUGGGGAGCGAACGGG